Molecule: small nucleolar RNA, 188 nt
Filed under: Candida maltosa Xu316
Lineage: Eukaryota; Fungi; Ascomycota; Pichiomycetes; Serinales; Debaryomycetaceae
Source: RNAcentral
UUCAUUACAUAUAAAUUCACUUCCGGAUUACCAGCAAGACUAAUAAUACCUCCAUUUAGUUAAGCACAAAUGGCUGGAAGGAGAUUAAUUAUAAAAAUCUAUCGUUAUUUAUAAUCCAAACCAUUGUUAUAUAUAUAUAUGUAUAUAUAACACCAUCAAUGAUUUUGGUUCGCUUGGUAGAUACAUCU